AGCAAAUAUUAGAUUAUUAAAUUUCAUCAAAUUCAUCCUAGGUCUCUUUUUAGCUUGAGUAGUGUCUCCCAAGGCCUAUCAAUUGAUAAUUUCUUGUCUUUAAGCAAUAAGAAUGAGUAAUCGUGCACCAUUUAUUAUUCAUCGAAUUUUUCUAGGAAUUUUAUAGAUUGAUAAAAUUAAGCAAGCCAAUGAAUGGAUCGGAUAUCGGUCCGAACUCAAGCCCAUUGAAAACUUUGGGUUCAGAUCUAGGUUUAUGAUUUUUAGGCCCAACCUGAUCCAGUCCCAACUGAUUAAUUUCUUGUAUACAUAGUAUUAAUUUCAUUAAUAUACUUUUCAAUCUUUAAGCUCUUGGCAUGUGAGAUUAUGUUCUAUAAAUUAAUGAGGUAGAAAGAAUAAAGAAAAUCAUAUGUUGGAUCACGUUUGAUUGUUUGUAUUUGAUUUAAAUUAAAUGUAUACUUUCAAUUUUUUUUAUCAAUCAUUGUUAUAUAAUUAACUAUCAAUCAUUGAAAGCUAGACUUGAUCUGAGCCAAUACAACUAUUAAUAAUCUAUCCAAACUAGGGGUGUGUACAAGUCAGAUCUAGUAGAUUUGGAUAUAUACCCAAGAUUAAAUUGAUUUAAAUUACUUUGCCAAAAUCAAAAACUAAAUCAAACAAAUCAUCUACAAAAAUUGUCUGAAAUAAAUUCUAAAAAUUUGGUUCAGUUCAUUCGGUUUAUCAGAUUAAUGUUUAACAGGUUGGGCUAAAUGAAUUAGACUAAGUCUAA
RNAcentral lists this long non-coding RNA (763 nucleotides) under Elaeis guineensis (African oil palm). RNAcentral describes it as "long non-coding RNA (EGUI_LNC004623)". The record is from RNAcentral. Lineage: Eukaryota; Viridiplantae; Streptophyta; Magnoliopsida; Arecales; Arecaceae.